UCAGUCCAUCCGGACCGCAGCGCGAUGUCAAAUCUGGACCGGUUCGGGUUCCCGGAACAAACAUCAUUUAUAAAGUCCUUCUUAGAAGCCAAAAAUACCCUGUCAGGAAGAGACAGAAAAGGGCCAUUUGGAUGGAAAUCAACCAUUUUGCACACUAAAAUCCAUUUUCAAACAAUCUCGCCUGAUGGAGCAAAUUGAUCCGAGGCUUAAUCUGAAUUCAGGACGAUAGUUGUGCCAGCAGUGGGGAAGGGCCAAAGUUGAAGUGCAAAUAAAGUACUUUUUACAGUUGCAGCCUUUGAAUUCUGCCAGAGUUUUCCAAAUUGAUUGAGCUUCAUAGUGAACAGACCUGGCGAUAUACUCUCUGCAGGCCUCCGAGAGAGCGGGACUCUCGUGUUUCACCAUACACACCAACGCUGACACCACCCCAGCCUCCAAGAGCUUCAGCACCCUCUUCUCUACAAACGAUUGGGCAUCCUACACAAAAACACAACGUGAAUGAGCGCCUCCACUGCCACCUGCUGGUGAGUGAUGUUUUCAGACGCACAGAGGGAGAUGACGGCCUCCAUGAUCCCGCUCAG
Molecule: non-coding RNA, 578 nt
Organism: Pimephales promelas (fathead minnow)
Lineage: Eukaryota; Metazoa; Chordata; Actinopteri; Cypriniformes; Leuciscidae
Source: RefSeq, a predicted model, not a curated record